RNAcentral lists this ribosomal RNA (445 nucleotides) under uncultured bacterium. Its description in RNAcentral is "partial 16S ribosomal RNA". It matches the Rfam family "Bacterial small subunit ribosomal RNA", at positions 332 to 793 of the family's 1533-position model. The record is from RNAcentral.
CAGACUCCUACGGGAGGCAGCAGUGGGGAAUAUUGCACAAUGGGGGAAACCCUGAUGCAGCGACGCCGCGUGAGCGAUGAAGUAUUUCGGUAUGUAAAGCUCUAUCAGCAGGGAAGAAAAUGACGGUACCUGACUAAGAAGCCCCGGCUAACUACGUGCCAGCAGCCGCGGUAAUACGUAGGGGGCUAGCGUUAUCCGGAAUUACUGGGCGUAAAGGGUGCGUAGGUGGUUUCUUAAGUCAGAGGUGAAAGGCUACGGCUCAACCGUAGUAAGCCUUUGAAACUGGGAAACUUGAGUGCAGGAGAGGAGAGUGGAAUUCCUAGUGUAGCGGUGAAAUGCGUAGAUAUUAGGAGGAACACCAGUUGCGAAGGCGGCUCUCUGGACUGUAACUGACGUUGAGGCUCGAAAGCGUGGGGAGCAAACAGGAUUAGAUACCCCCGUACAG